Molecule: ribosomal RNA, 254 nt
Filed under: uncultured bacterium
Lineage: Bacteria
Description: partial 16S ribosomal RNA
Rfam family: Bacterial small subunit ribosomal RNA
Source: RNAcentral
UACAGAGGCGGCAAGCGUUGUUCGGAAUUAUUGGGCGUAAAGAGCACGUAGGCGGCUGUGUAAGUCGGUUGUGAAAGCCUUCCGCUCAACGGAAGAACGGCAGCCGAUACUGCAUGGCUUGAGUGCGGGAGGGGAGAGUGGAACUUCUGGUGGAGCGGUGAAAUGCGUAGAUAUCAGAAGGAACGCCGGCGGCGAAAGCGGCUCUCUGGCCCGUAACUGACGCUGAGUGUGCGAAAGCUAGGGGAGCAAACGGG